CGCCUCUUGACUUAUAAUAAGAGGUCCAGCCUGCCCAGUGAAUUUUAAACGGCCGCGGUAUCCUAACCGCGCGAAGGUAGCAUAAUCACUUGUUCUUUAAAUGGGGACUCGUAUCAACGGCAUCACGAGGGUUUUACUGUCUCCUCUUUUUGAUCAGUGAAAUUGAUCUUCCCGUGAAGAAGCGGGAAUACUUAUAUAAGACGAGAAGACCCCAUGGAGCUUUAAACCAAAUAACAACUUAACCACUUAACCCAUUAUAAAUUUAAGCCAUGUUGUAAGGUUUUAGGUUGGGGUGACCGCGGAGUAAAGCAUAUCCUCCACGACGGAAAGAAGCACAAUCUUUAUUUAAGAACCACAAUUCUAGAAAUUAGUAUACUAACGUUCACUGACCCGACAAUCGAUCAACGGACCAAGUUACCCUGGGGAUAACAGCGCAAUCUACUUCAAGAGCUCAUAUCGACAAGUAGGCUUACGACCUCGAUGUUGGAUCAGGGUAUCCCGGUGGUGCAGCCGCUACCGAAGGUUCGUUUGUUCAACGAUUAAAACCCUACG
This 552-nucleotide ribosomal RNA is filed under the name Polypedates mutus (Burmese whipping frog). RNAcentral describes it as "partial 16S ribosomal RNA". It matches the Rfam family "Bacterial large subunit ribosomal RNA", at positions 1829 to 2600 of the family's 2925-position model. Lineage: Eukaryota; Metazoa; Chordata; Amphibia; Anura; Rhacophoridae. The record is from RNAcentral.